UACGGAGGGUGCGAGCGUUGUCCGGAAUCACUGGGCGUAAAGGGCGCGUAGGCGGCCUGAUAAGUAGGGGGUGAAAUCCUGCGGCUUAACCGCAGGGCUGCCUUCUAAACUGUCGGGCUUGAGCACAGUAGAGGCAGGUGGAAUUCCCGGUGUAGCGGUGGAAUGCGUAGAGAUCGGGAAGAACAUCGGUGGCGAAGGCGACUACCUGGCCUGUUCUUGACGCUGAGGCGCGAAAGCUAGGGGAGCAAACGGG
RNAcentral lists this ribosomal RNA (253 nucleotides) under uncultured bacterium. Its description in RNAcentral is "partial 16S ribosomal RNA". It matches the Rfam family "Bacterial small subunit ribosomal RNA", at positions 524 to 776 of the family's 1533-position model. The record is from RNAcentral.